This 432-nucleotide unclassified non-coding RNA is filed under the name Hevea brasiliensis (rubber tree). The record is from RNAcentral. Lineage: Eukaryota; Viridiplantae; Streptophyta; Magnoliopsida; Malpighiales; Euphorbiaceae.
CGGACGUUUCCUGAUCAUCUGUACAUAUCCACUUCAUGGAAGAGUAAAAUGAAACUAGAAAUAAGUGUCUAUUCCUCAAAUGUACAUAAGAAUUAUCUAUCCCACCAGAAGCUCUCCUAUUUUCUUCCUUCCACAGGACCCACAUGAUCUCUAGGGGGAAUCAUCUUAGGUUCACCGAUUUCUCUUCCUAUUUCUAAGUUUUCAGUUGGAAAAUGCCUCCGUCACUGAUCACAAUAGAUGUGUGAGAGACGCCAAGGUAAUUAAUAUUACCUAUUUCUAUCCAUUUCAGAUUAAACAUGUGCUUAUACAAUGUGAAUUCAGUUUUUUAUGUAACUAACCAAAUGUCUGAUAAGACAUGUGUAUGUACUAAUUAAUCCAAAGGCCUUUGCCGUUAUUGCCAUUUCUGUACAAUAACGGGUGACUGAGUGGUCG